Molecule: long non-coding RNA, 1729 nt
Filed under: Capsicum annuum
Lineage: Eukaryota; Viridiplantae; Streptophyta; Magnoliopsida; Solanales; Solanaceae
Description: long non-coding RNA (CANN_LNC011377)
Source: RNAcentral
GGGUCUUUAGGCUUGACAGGGCUUAGGAUAAAGGGGAAGGGGGUCUUAGGCCUGAUUAUAGUCUUGAGCCUGGGGCGAGGGGGGGGGAUCCUGGGCCUGACUGUGGUCUCGAGCCUAAGAUGGGGGGGAGAGAGGUGGGGUCCGGAGCCUAAGCGUGGUCUCGGGCCUAAGAUUGGGGUGAGAGAGGUAAGGUCCUGAGCCUAAGCGUGGUCUCGGGCCUAAGAUUGGGGUGAGAGAGGUAAGGUCCUGAGCCUAAGCGUGGUCUCGGGCCUAAGAUUGGGGUGAGAGAGGUAAGGUCCUGAGCCUAAGCGUGGUCUCGGGCCUAAGAUUGGGGUGAGAGAGGUAAGGUCCUGAGCCUAAGCGUGGUCUCGGGCCUAAGAUUGGGGUGAGAGAGGUAAGGUCCUGAGCCUAAGCGUGGUCUCGGGCCUAAGAUUGGGGUGAGAGAGGUAAGGUCCUGAGCCUAAGCGUGGUCUCGGGCCUAAGAUUGGGGUGAGAGAGGUAAGGUCCUGAGCCUAAGCGUGGUCUCGGGCCUAAGAUUGGGGUGAGAGAGGUAAGGUCCUGAGCCUAAGCGUGGUCUCGGGCCUAAGAUUGGGGUGAGAGAGGUAAGGUCCUGAGCCUAAGCGUGGUCUCGGGCCUAAGAUUGGGGUGAGAGAGGUAAGGUCCUGAGCCUAAGCGUGGUCUCGGGCCUAAGAUUGGGGUGAGAGAGGUAAGGUCCUGAGCCUAAGCGUGGUCUCGGGCCUAAGAUUGGGGUGAGAGAGGUAAGGUCCUGAGCCUAAGCGUGGUCUCGGGCCUAAGAUUGGGGUGAGAGAGGUAAGGUCCUGAGCCUAAGCGUGGUCUCGGGCCUAAGAUUGGGGUGAGAGAGGUAAGGUCCUGAGCCUAAGCGUGGUCUCGGGCCUAAGAUUGGGGUGAGAGAGGUAAGGUCCUGAGCCUAAGCGUGGUCUCGGGCCUAAGAUUGGGGUGAGAGAGGUAAGGUCCUGAGCCUAAGCGUGGUCUCGGGCCUAAGAUUGGGGUGAGAGAGGUAAGGUCCUGAGCCUAAGCGUGGUCUCGGGCCUAAGAUUGGGGUGAGAGAGGUAAGGUCCUGAGCCUAAGCGUGGUCUCGGGCCUAAGAUUGGGGUGAGAGAGGUAAGGUCCUGAGCCUAAGCGUGGUCUCGUGGGAGUUCCUAGCCUUGAGUUCAGUCUCGGGAGAUGGGGAGGGAAAAGGGGGAAGGGGGGUCUUAGCCCUGAUUGUAGUCUUGAGCCUGGGGCGAGGGGGUGGGAUCCUGGGCCUGACAGUGGUCUCGGGCCUAAGAUUGGGGUGAGAGAGGUAAGGUCCUGAGCCUAAGCGUGGUAUCGUGCCUAGGUGCAGGGGUGGGGGUUCUUAGGCUUGACAGUGGGAUCUUGGGCCUAAGAUGAGGUUGAGAGAGGUGGGGUCCUGAGCUUAAGCGUGGUCUCGUGGGUGUUCCUAGCCUUGAGUUUGGUCUCGGGCUUAGGAUAGAGGGGAAGGAGGUCUUAGGCUUGAUUAUAAUCUUGAGCCUGGGGCGAGGAGGUGGGAUCCUGGGGCUGACAGUGGUCUCGGGCCUAAGAUUGGGGUAAAAAAGGUAGGAUCCUGAGCCUAAGCGUGGUAUCGUGCCUAGGUGCAGGGGUGGGGCGUCGAGCCUGAGCAUAGUCUCGUGCCUGGGGCGAGGGAUGGACGGGUCCUGGGCAUGGUCUUGGGCAAGGGAUGGAUGGGUCCUUGGCCUGAGUAUGGUCG